CCGGGUUGCGGACAGUGUCUGGUGGGUAGUUUGACUGGGGCGGUCUCCUCCUAAAGAGUAACGGAGGAGCACGAAGGUUAGCUAAUCCUGGUCGGACAUCAGGAGGUUAGUGCAAAGGCAUAAGCUAGCUUGACUGCGAGCGUGACGGCGCGAGCAGGUGCGAAAGCAGGUCUUAGUGAUCCGGUGGUUCUGAAUGGAAGGGCCAUCGCUCAACGGAUAAAAGGUACUCCGGGGAUAACAGGCUGAUACCGCCCAAGAGUUCAUAUCGACGGCGGUGUUUGGCACCUCGAUGUCGGCUCAUCACAUCCUGGGGCUGAAGUAGGUCCCAAGGGUAUGGCUGUUCGCCAUUUAAAGUGGUACGCGAGCUGGGUUUAGAACGUCGUGAGACAGUUCGGUCCCUAUCUGCCGUGGGCGCUGGAGAAUUGAGGGGGGCUGCUCCUAGUACGAGAGGACCGGAGUGGACGCAUCACUGGUGUUCGGGUUGUCAUGCCAAUGGCACUGCCCGGUAGCUAAAUGCGGAAGAGAUAAGUGCUGAAAGCAUCUAAGCACGAAACUUGCCCCGAGAUGAGUUCUCCCUGAC
Molecule: ribosomal RNA, 580 nt
Filed under: Citrobacter farmeri
Lineage: Bacteria; Pseudomonadati; Pseudomonadota; Gammaproteobacteria; Enterobacterales; Enterobacteriaceae
Description: partial 23S ribosomal RNA
Rfam family: Bacterial large subunit ribosomal RNA
Source: RNAcentral